UACGGAGGGGGCUAGCGUUGUUCGGAAUUACUGGGCGUAAAGCGCGCGUAGGCGGCCCUGCAAGUCGGGGGUGAAAGCCCGAGGCUCAACCUCGGAACUGCCUUCGAUACUGCGGGUCUCGAGUCCGGGAGAGGUGAGUGGAAUUCCUAGUGUAGAGGUGAAAUUCGUAGAUAUUAGGAAGAACACCAGUGGCGAAGGCGGCUCACUGGCCCGGUACUGACGCUGAGGCGCGAAAGCGUGGGGAGCAAACAGG
RNAcentral lists this ribosomal RNA (253 nucleotides) under uncultured bacterium. RNAcentral's name for it is "partial 16S ribosomal RNA". It matches the Rfam family "Bacterial small subunit ribosomal RNA", at positions 524 to 776 of the family's 1533-position model. The record is from RNAcentral.